Long non-coding RNA from Triticum dicoccoides, 1029 nucleotides. RefSeq lists it as uncharacterized. Lineage: Eukaryota; Viridiplantae; Streptophyta; Magnoliopsida; Poales; Poaceae. The transcript has 3 exons. The record is from RefSeq and is a predicted model, not a curated record.
CUGGAACAUUGUCAUGCUAGCCACCUGACACUCGGCAUAUCCUCUCCCUCGUGGCAUCCAGCUUUGCUGUAGGGACCAAAAGGUGCUCCAUCACCGGAUUCAUCAUAUUGGAAUCCUCUCUUCUUGUGUGGUUUAGUCAACUUUGUUUUCCUGUAUGGUACAGUUGGGGUCUAGAUCGAAGUCGGCUGAGCUAUUGGGUGGCUCUGAAGAUGUGUUUGUGUUAGAGAUUAGUUUACAUGCAAAGUAAGUUCUUUAAGAAAAGUAUUACUGCGCACCACUCCAAUUUGUUCCUUGAACUGAUAAGAUCUGGUCCAGUAGUACUGCUGCAAAUCCGAGGCAAGACGUUCUGCAUGUUUCUAUUAUCCUGCACAAUAAGCAAGCACAUACACUUCAAAUCAUCCGUUCUCUUGUUCCCCAAAAUAAAUUCAUUCGUUCUAACCAUUAGCCAUAUAAUUGUACAGAUAGACCAUAUAAAUGGGAUUCUUUCUGUAAAUAGAAAUCAACCUGAUUUGAUUAUGUUUCAUGUCCAUAAUAGUUUUCUCUUGGUAGAAAAAACAUAAACAUGUACAUACAGAUUAUAUUUCUUCUCAUUGCAAGAGGAUAUGAGGAUUUCUACUAUUAUACUGACAGAAUGAUAGCAUCACCUCAAGCAUGUAACCGUGGGAGUUAGACUUUCACUAAUGAUUUGAGCAAGUUUCCCGGUGAUCAAACAUUGUACAUCAGAAAUGUUCUUCAUCGAUGCCCAUCCCAAUUGCUAACAAUUCUUUUGCACUCUCAGGUUGCCAAAUAUACUACGAAGGAACUAUAGCAAGUGAAUUGUUGAGUUUGCCAAGCAUAAUGGCACACCUAAUUUUGGCAGAUCAUAUAAAGAGGAUAUCGAGCAAAGAUGAUUUGAGAUUUACCCAUGACUAUAUGCGGUUCCUAUAAACUCCUGUUGCAUGUUUAAUGAUUGCCACAAUAGUUUCUUUUAAUGCACCAGAGAAUUAUAUUUUUUGUAUCAGGUAAAUAAUUCUUUUCUCACUGUUAUUU